Molecule: long non-coding RNA, 1019 nt
Organism: Acinonyx jubatus (cheetah)
Lineage: Eukaryota; Metazoa; Chordata; Mammalia; Carnivora; Felidae
Exons: 7
Source: RefSeq, a predicted model, not a curated record
GGUGCCCAACCAAUAGUGGUGCUCCGCCAGAACAGAGGCAACUUCACUCUCCCUUAUCCACCCGAGAAAGCGAGGGGAUGAAGGUGGAGUGGAGUAGUCUGUGCAUUGAGGAAAUGAUUGACGGACAGCCCCCCCCCCCUUCCAAUCGGAGCGCUGUGCGCAGCCUGGCCAACCUAUGGGACUUGGCUGCUAAGGCGAGAGGCGGGCUUCUCAGAAGUAGGAAGUAUUCGUGGGUCCGUCUGCAGUCAGCCGGGCAAAGGGCUCGGCGGACUCUGGAAAUAGCGCGAACCGUGGACGUGCUCAUGACGAGGGGGGAGUGAGCUCACGAAGGCCACGUGCAGGCUGCCCAGAGCUUGCCCAGACUCACAAAAGGGGUUCCCUGAAUUGCGACUUCCUUUCUCUCUGCGUGGUGUGCUUAAUUCCAAGCUCCUUGUCAUGUUGGCUGAAUCAACAUCGCCAGGAUCAGAGAUAAGUGUCCUGUUCCAAGACGUCAUAACCUGGAAGAAACAUGUCUUGGAUUUGAUUAAGGAUAUGGCAAGAAGGCAGUGGUCUGCACACCAGGAAGUGGAUUCUCACCAGAUACCAAGGCUGUGGCCACUUUGAUUUUGGACUUUCCAGCCUGCAGAACUGUGAGAAAUAGACUGGGUGAUCAAGGCUACUGAAGGGGUAUUUGAGUUCAUUUAUCUGACUUCUAAGGACAACAGUGUUUACAUUCAGAAGUGGAAACCUCGGAAGAAAUUCUUCAUCUAGGAUGAUCAAGUCUCCUGAGGAGAAAUUUCAAUAUACCUACACAUCUGAUGAGAAAAAGUACCAUGGUGAAAAAAUACAUUCAUGAUUCUGUCUACUGAGAAGGCCUGGAAGCAGUGACACCCCAGUAGCAAUGACGAACCCGUGUCCAGAUACAAUUUUCUAAAUUCCAUUGUUCAACUAAAAACCAAUGGGACAUGGCGAAGAGUAUAAAAAGGAAAAACGGUGCCUUUGCAGUGGAGAAACUUGGCGGACCCCAGCCUAACCAAGUG